AUGACGCAGGUUGUCAUGGGCACCGUAGGGUAUAUAGACCCGGAAUUCAUCCGCACGCGCCGGCCAAGCACCGAAGCCGACGUCUACAGCUUUGGCAUCGUUGUGUUGGAGGUCGUGUCCGGCCGGCGACCGGAGAUGGGAAUAGGAGAACCGGCCGACAAAGCCAUCCCGUUGCUCAGAUGGAUUUGGGACCUGUACGAGAAGGGAACCAUAGUUGAAGCGGUGGACGAGAGGCUCAAGGGGGAAGACAUGCAGCAGCUCGAUGAUGUCGACAUCAGUAAGGGGCAAAUGCACCACGCGCUAGUCGUGGGGCUCUGGUGCACGCACCCGCACCUGGGUGUGCAGCCGUCAGUAGUACAGCUCAUGAACGUCUUGCAGUCGGAGGACGUCACGUUGCCGACCCUGUCGCGGCCAGCCCUGGCCAACAUUAACACUGGAUCACAUGCCUCAUCGGCCAUUGCUUGUAGCGACGUGUCUUGGGCCAGCAGUGGCAGAUGA
Molecule: ribosomal RNA, 498 nt
Filed under: Triticum aestivum (bread wheat)
Lineage: Eukaryota; Viridiplantae; Streptophyta; Magnoliopsida; Poales; Poaceae
Description: partial small subunit ribosomal RNA
Source: RNAcentral